This 492-nucleotide ribosomal RNA is filed under the name uncultured bacterium. Its description in RNAcentral is "bacterial SSU rRNA". It matches the Rfam family "Bacterial small subunit ribosomal RNA", at positions 26 to 507 of the family's 1533-position model. The record is from RNAcentral.
AGAGUGAACGCUGGCGGCAGGCCUAAUACAUGCAAGUCGAACGGCAGCACAGCAGAGCUUGCUCUGUGGGUGGCGAGUGGCGGACGGGUGAGGAAUACAUGGGAAUCUGCCCAGUCGUGGGGGAUAACGUAGGGAAACUUACGCUAAUACCGCAUGCGCCCUUCGGGGGAAAGCCGGGGACCUUCGGGCCUGGCGCGAUUGGAUGAGCCCAUGUCGGAUUAGCUAGUUGGCGGGGUAAUGGCUCACCAAGGCGACGAUCCGUAGCUGGUCUGAGAGGAUGAUCAGCCACACUGGAACUGAGACACGGUCCAGACUCCUACGGGAGGCAGCAGUAGGGAAUAUUGGACAAUGGGCGCAAGCCUGAUCCAGCCAUGCCGCGUGAGUGAAGAAGGCCCUCGGGUUGUAAAGCUCUUUUGUCCGGAAAGAAAAGCGCCGGGUUAAUACCCUAGUGUCCUGACGGUACCGGAAGAAUAAGCACCGGCUAACUUCGUG